Molecule: non-coding RNA, 898 nt
Organism: Vicugna pacos (alpaca)
Lineage: Eukaryota; Metazoa; Chordata; Mammalia; Artiodactyla; Camelidae
Source: RefSeq, a predicted model, not a curated record
CUACCAGAGGACCGGCAGCCCGAGAUCCCGCCUCCAGCACCAGGAGUGCAGGAGCGCCUGUGACCUAGCUUCCAUCUUGGACUUGGACACCAAGGCCAGCCUGGAUUCGCCACCCCGACUGUCACAGAAGCUCAAGGAGGUUCCUUGCAAAACUCAAGGUUUAUUGUAUGAAGCACUUUCAAAUCCUUUGUUAUCAAAAGCCUUUCCCUUGAGCCUUGGAGAGGAUUACAAAGUAAUGCCUUCUUCCUUUAGCUUAUUUCUUAGGAAAUUAUCUCCAGCCCUGCCAAAGUCCAAAGGGCUGCAGGAUUUCACUGCUCUCUUCACACGUGGAACAUUUGGACAUCCCUCAUCAUUUUUUCCACUCCUAUUUCCUGAGGAGAAAACAGAAGAUCUGGGAAAGAGACUGCCUGCCUCUGGUCUCUUGGCUGCCCUGAAAGGAAGAUGCCAAAUGCAGUUCCAGGAAUGAAGCUGGGACUGUGAGCAGAUCCGUCUGUUGCUCCUCGUACCUUCUCACUUCACAGUGUGUGGCCCACUGUCAGGUGAGGGCCACACUCCUUCUGUCCAGUUGGCUGUGAGGAAGCACUGGGCCACGCUGGGGAAUUCCACACGCCAAGGAACUGCAGGAGGGCUCUGGGAGCUGAGAACAGCCUCUUGCCAACAGUCAGCAAGGAACUGAAGCUCCGUGUCAUGGAGCUGCAGAUACCGAGCUCUGCCAACAACCUGAAGGAGCCUGGAGGUAGAUCCUGCCCCAGGAGGGCCUCAGGGGAGACCCAGCCCCAGCUGACAUCUUGAUUACAGCUUUAUGAGACUCUACACAGCAGCCCCAGAUAAGCUUUAUUGGGAUUCCUGACCCAGAGAAACUGUGAGAUAAAACACAUUUGUUGUUUUAAACCCUUCA